This 925-nucleotide long non-coding RNA is filed under the name Equus caballus (horse). Its description in RNAcentral is "lncRNA (ENSECAG00000056207.1)". The record is from RNAcentral. Lineage: Eukaryota; Metazoa; Chordata; Mammalia; Perissodactyla; Equidae.
AAACCUUCUCAAACAAAGCUCAUGAUCCUCAGUUUGGGGAAACUGAGGCUAACAAGGAUUAAGCAAACUGCUGGGAUUAAAUAGCUUAUUCAUGGCAGGGUCAGGGCUUUAAAUAAGAGCUAGUGGCCUCUGGAAUCGAGAUAUCUGCCGAUUUUAGAUUCCAGAACCCACUCUUGGCCUUACCCAUCUCACUCCUCCUCCACCAAGAAGGAAGAACAAAGGAAACCUCCCAUUUGCAAGGUUCUCAGCAUCCUGUGUCACCAUGACAACGAGCUCUAGUCAAUUUCCUCACAAGGAGGGGAAAAGCAAAAGUCAAACAAAGCUUCUGUGGAACAUUCUGUGGGCAAACACCGGGGCCAGUGUGCUUGGGCCUCUCUGUCCUCGAUCAAAUAGGGUGAAUCACUCCUGGCAUUGGAGCUGGGAGACGGGCCAGGUUCCUAAAUAGUUUGCGCCACUGCGAGCAAUUGCUAAAGAAUUCCAGUACAGCUAUCUGAAAAAGACCCAAGCACAAGAAAAGAGCAUCCUGUUCUGAAAUCUCAGAAAGGAUAAAUUGCAUCUUGCAGUGCAGAAGGACAAAAACAAUCAUUAAAGUCAAGUGGGCCUGGCAUAAGGGGGUCCGAACAGCACUGGGAAGCUUUUAGUGGUUUUGUCCCCUGGUCCCCUCUCCCAGGAAUGAAGCCCUUCCAGGUGCUUUAUAUAUCCUUAUCGAUCACCUCUAUGGAGGCCUGGGAUAAUGGAGAAAGCAAGCUGGCCUGGAGAAAACUUGCUUUUAUCAGGAUAACAAUGGAAUGGCUCUUCUGGGCUAAUUACAUCACUCAGUCCAAUUUGGGGCAAAUUUGAAGGCUUUUAGAGCAAGGAAGCAGCAACAGUUCCCAGGAGUCUUCAUGCAUAUGGUGGAGAGCAAAUAAAUAAUAACGAUGACAAU